UACGGAGGGAGCUAGCGUUGUUCGGAAUUACUGGGCGUAAAGCGCACGUAGGCGGCUUUGUAAGUUAGAGGUGAAAGCCCGGGGCUCAACUCCGGAACUGCCUUUAAGACUGCAUCGCUUGAAUCCAGGAGAGGUGAGUGGAAUUCCAGGUGUAGCGGUGAAAUGCGUAGAUAUCUGGAGGAACACCGGUGGCGAAGGCGGCAUCCUGGACCGGUAUUGACGCUGAGGCGCGAAAGCUAGGGGAGCAAACGGG
This 253-nucleotide ribosomal RNA is filed under the name uncultured bacterium. Its description in RNAcentral is "partial 16S ribosomal RNA". It matches the Rfam family "Bacterial small subunit ribosomal RNA", at positions 524 to 776 of the family's 1533-position model. The record is from RNAcentral.